GGGUGUUACACUCAGAAAGAGAGUGAACAACUAGAAGAUGUGGAAGAAAAUUCCAACGGCCAAUUUUGAAACAAACCAGGCAGACAGACCCAGAUGCAGAAUGCUGCAGGCUGAGGGAUGUUAGGAAGAGUUAGCCCACCACUGCUGCGCUGAAACCAGGAUGACAGAAACUGGGCCUCAGGCCAGUAGAUCAAUAAACCAAACUCCCUAUCACCUCAGACUCUGCACCUGUUAAAGCCCUGUAAAGAGCCAACAUGUAAGGACUUAUACUGACUGGAUACAGAGAAUAUGGAGCAAAUCAAAUGUAUUUAAAUAGUAAAUUACCAUAUUGUUAUAAAUAAAAAUUUACAUUGCAUUUCCUUUUA
RNAcentral lists this long non-coding RNA (365 nucleotides) under Pongo abelii (Sumatran orangutan). Its description in RNAcentral is "lincRNA". Lineage: Eukaryota; Metazoa; Chordata; Mammalia; Primates; Hominidae. The record is from RNAcentral.